Molecule: ribosomal RNA, 468 nt
Filed under: uncultured bacterium
Lineage: Bacteria
Description: partial 16S ribosomal RNA
Rfam family: Bacterial small subunit ribosomal RNA
Source: RNAcentral
GACGAACGCUGGCGGCGUGCUUAACACAUGCAAGUCGAACGGAAAGGCCCUGCUUUUGUGGGGUGCUCGAGUGGCGAACGGGUGAGUAACACGUGAGUAACCUGCCCUUGACUUUGGGAUAACUUCAGGAAACUGGGGCUAAUACCGGAUAGGAGCUCCUGCUGCAUGGUGGGGGUUGGAAAGUUUCGGCGGUUGGGGAUGGACUCGCGGCUUAUCAGCUUGUUGGUGGGGUAGUGGCUUACCAAGGCUUUGACGGGUAGCUGGCCUGAGAGGGUGGCCGGCCACAUUGGGACUGAGAUACGGCCCAGACUCCUACGGGAGGCAGCAGUGGGGAAUAUUGCACAAUGGGCGGAAGCCUGAUGCAGCAACGCCGCGUGCGGGAUGACGGCCUUCGGGUUGUAAACCGCUUUCGCCUGUGACGAAGCGUGAGUGAUGGUAAUGGGUAAAGAAGCACCGGCUAACUACGUG